UUUUCAGUGUCGCAGCGAAAGCGAUAAACACACCGCCUGGGGAGUACGACCGCAAGGUUAAAACUCAAAUGAAUUGACGGGGACCCGCACAAGUAGUGGAGCAUGUGGUUUAAUUCGAAGAUACGCGCAGAACCUUACCAACACUUGACAUGUUCGUCGCGACUCUAAGAGAUUAGAGUUUUCGGUUCGGCCGGACGAAACACAGGUGCUGCAUGGCUGUCGUCAGCUCGUGUCGUGAGAUGUUGGGUUAAGUCCCGCAACGAGCGCAACCCUCACUUUUAGUUGCCAUCAUUAAGUUGGGCACUCUGAAAGAACUGCCAGUGAUAAGCUGGAGGAAGGUGGGGAUGACGUCAAGUCCUCAUGGCCCUUACGUGUUGGGCUACACACGUGCUACAAUGGUAUCUACAACAGGAAGCAAGACUGCGAGGUCAAGCAAAUCCUUAAAAGAUACCUCAGUUCGGAUUGCACUCUGCAACUCGAGUGCAUGAAGCUGGAAUUACUAGUAAUCGUGGAUCAGCGUGCCACGGUGAAUGCGUUCCCGGGUCUUGUACACACCGCCCGUCACACCAUGGGAGUUGGUUCUACCUUAAGGCAAGGUUUAAAACCCUUGACCACGGUAUAGUCAGCGACUGGGGUGAAGUCGUAACAAGGUAGCCGUAGGGGAACCUGCGGCUGGAUUACCUCCUU
This 687-nucleotide ribosomal RNA is filed under the name uncultured marine alpha proteobacterium. RNAcentral describes it as "bacterial SSU rRNA". It matches the Rfam family "Bacterial small subunit ribosomal RNA", at positions 837 to 1532 of the family's 1533-position model. Lineage: Bacteria; Pseudomonadati; Pseudomonadota; Alphaproteobacteria. The record is from RNAcentral.